GCUUUCGAUGGUAGUGUAUUGGACUACCAUGGCUCUCACGGGUAACAGGGAAUUAGGGUUCGAUUCUGGAGAAGGAGCCUGAGAAACGGCUACUACAUCUACGGAAGGCAGCAGGCGCGUAAAUUACCCAAUCCUGACUCAGGGAGGUGGUGACAAGAUAUAACAAAGCGAGUAAAAUCGCUAUUGUAGUGAGGGUAUUCUAAAUAGAACCUAUAGUACGAUUGGAGGGCAAG
This 233-nucleotide ribosomal RNA is filed under the name uncultured ciliate. Its description in RNAcentral is "partial 18S ribosomal RNA". It matches the Rfam family "Eukaryotic small subunit ribosomal RNA", at positions 318 to 559 of the family's 1831-position model. Lineage: Eukaryota; Ciliophora. The record is from RNAcentral.